This 661-nucleotide ribosomal RNA is filed under the name uncultured Tomentella. RNAcentral's name for it is "eukaryotic LSU rRNA". The stretch from base 247 to 401 matches the Rfam family "5.8S ribosomal RNA". Lineage: Eukaryota; Fungi; Basidiomycota; Agaricomycetes; Thelephorales; Thelephoraceae. The record is from RNAcentral.
AAGUCGUAACAAGGUUUCCGUAGGUGAACCUGCGGAAGGAUCAUUACCGAAUUGUCGACACGAGUUGUUGCUGGCCCUCGAAGGGGGGCACGUGCACGCUCUGUUUACACAUCCACUCGCACCCGUGCACCCUCUGUAGUUCUAUGGCCUGGGGGACACUGUCCCCUUGCUGUGGUCCUACGUUUUUACACACACACCGUAAUAAAGUCUUAUGGAAUGCAUGUCGCGUUUAACGCAAUACAAUACAACUUUCAGCAACGGAUCUCUUGGCUUUCGCAUCGAUGAAGAACGCAGCGAAAUGCGAUAAGUAAUGUGAAUUGCAGAAUUCAGUGAAUCAUCGAAUCUUUGAACGCACCUUGCGCCCUUUGGCUAUUCUGAAGGGCAUGCCUGUUUGAGUAUCAUGAACACCUCAACUCUCGUGGUUUGCCAUGAUGAGCUUGGACUUUGGGGGUCUUGCUGGCCUACGGUCGGCUCCUCUUAAAUGAAUCAGCUUGCCAGUGUUUGGUGGCAUCACAGGUGUGAUAACUAUCUACGCUUGUGGUUUUCUGCCAGGUAACCUUCAGUGAUGGAGGUUCGCUGGGGCUCACAAAUGUCUCUCCUCAGCGAGGACAGCUUUUUAACGUUUGAUCUCAAAUCAGGUAGGACUACCCGCUGAACUUAA